CAUUCAUCUUAACCCUAAAUACUAUUUUCAAACAUUUAAUACCAUAUAUACAUAAAUUUUCCAUAUACUAUAAUAUAAAUUUUAAACUUUCAAUAAUUUUACAAUAAUUAUAAAUACAAAAACGACAAUUUUAUAUUGUUUUUAGUUUCAGCCAUUGAUUGAUUCAAAAUUAAAGGCCCAAAAUCAAUCUUCUAUCUAUCCUCACCCUUUAUUUCUAUUGGUUUCGCAUGGAUCACCAUUUGCACUCUUGGAUGAUAAUGAUCCAACGACUGAGAUUAAUUGUUCAUUUAUUAUUUUUCAAUUAUUUUCCAGAGAUUUGAGCAGAUCUCGUGUUUGAGAGAGAGAGAGAGAGAGAGAGAGAGAGAGAGAGAGAGAGAGAAAAGUAAGCGAUGCAUAUGCAUAUCGACUCCUUCUCGAAAGUAAAGAUCUCCUCUUCUCUAUGAUGAUUAUGGUCGUCUCCUUCUCGAAAGUUUCCUUCUUUCUCUCAUCACUGAAACUGAACCAGAGCGUGAGGCUCACGCUGAGGCUUGAGCAUCGUCUGUUCGUCGUCCGCUGCGAAGCUUCUUCCAACGGAAGGGAAAAAGCCGGAUAUGAAGUUGUGCUGGUGUAGAUGAGCCGAGCAAGAAGAAGAAAAAGAGAAAGAGGGAGAAGACAGAGACGUAAGAGGGAAGACGAGAAGAUGGAAGAGGAAGGCGACGACAGAGUGGCGUAGAUUAGGUUUAGUAUUGGUUGGUUUAUUAGGUUUGCUUUAGACAUGGUUAGUUCAAUAAACCGGGUUUGUGUAUAAACCAAUGUUAGGAAAUCAACUGAUUAUUAAUUGUAAACCAAUUAUUUGUAUACUGAUCUUAAUUAAUAAAUAAAAUUUAAUAUUUAAUUAUGAA
This is a long non-coding RNA of Brassica napus (rape), 881 nucleotides long. RefSeq lists it as uncharacterized. The record is from RefSeq and is a predicted model, not a curated record. Lineage: Eukaryota; Viridiplantae; Streptophyta; Magnoliopsida; Brassicales; Brassicaceae. The transcript has 2 exons.